CCUACGGGAGGCAGCAGUGGGGAAUUUUGGACAAUGGGGGCAACCCUGAUCCAGCCAUGCCGCGUGCGGGAAGAAGGCCUUCGGGUUGUAAACCGCUUUUGUCGGGGAAGAAACGCUCUUGGCCAAUACCCGAGAGUAAUGACGGUACCCGAAGAAUAAGCACCGGCUAACUACGUGCCAGCAGCCGCGGUAAUACGUAGGGUGCGAGCGUUAAUCGGAAUUACUGGGCGUAAAGCGUGCGCAGGCGGUCGUGCAAGACAGAUGUGAAAUCCCCGGGCUCAACCUGGGAACUGCAUUUGUGACUGCACGGCUGGAGUGCGGCAGAGGGGGAUGGAAUUCCGCGUGUAGCAGUGAAAUGCGUAGAUAUGCGGAGGAACACCGAUGGCGAAGGCAAUCCCCUGGGCCUGCACUGACGCUCAUGCACGAAAGCGUGGGGAGCA
Molecule: ribosomal RNA, 440 nt
Filed under: uncultured bacterium
Lineage: Bacteria
Description: bacterial SSU rRNA
Rfam family: Bacterial small subunit ribosomal RNA
Source: RNAcentral